UCUUCACCUCGGAUCAGGUAGGGAAUAACCCGCUGAACUUAAGCAUAUCAAUAAGCGGA
Molecule: ribosomal RNA, 59 nt
Filed under: Pyrenochaeta sp.
Lineage: Eukaryota; Fungi; Ascomycota; Dothideomycetes; Pleosporales; Cucurbitariaceae
Description: partial 28S ribosomal RNA
Source: RNAcentral